Chiloscyllium plagiosum (whitespotted bambooshark) is the source of this 3209-nucleotide long non-coding RNA. RefSeq lists it as uncharacterized. The record is from RefSeq and is a predicted model, not a curated record. NCBI's taxonomy places the organism in Eukaryota, Metazoa, Chordata, Chondrichthyes, Orectolobiformes, Hemiscylliidae.
CAUAGCCAAGACCUUCAACUGAACUGUGGUAUAAAUCUGGGAUAUCACAUGGUUUUAAAGCAGCUGCUGAAUUUGAGUGUAAAUGAAGCAAGGGAAGGGAAACGUCACUGAGCCACAUUGUAUUAUUGCAGCUUGGUUUAAACAGAUUUCAAAGGUACAAUGUGCAGAGAGGAGGGGAGGAAUAUGUCAAACUGUUUAUACAAAAAUUAAAGGAGAGAAAGUGAACCACCUUCUUUUGUUCAAGCCUGUCCAAAAUUGAUCUGUUUUCAAGAUUUCAAGCAAUUAUCAAGAACAUUUAACUCCGACAAGAAUUGAAAUGUUGUUUAAUACUGCUUUAAGUACUGCACGAAUCUGAAGACAUUUUAAAGCAACAGUUUAUUUUAUUCUAAGAGCAUACUGCUGGAUGCUUUGCAAGCAUCAACUUUGAUCUCAGGCUUUCUUCUGAAUCCAAUUCAGGCUUAAAGACCAUCCUAACAUCAACUGAACCUAGCAAUGUUUCCAAGUUCAGUUCAUUUCAUUGGCUUGUAUAAGCAGUAGGUCAGACCACUGUCUGGGAAUUUGUGUUUGCACCAAACUGGAGAAGAGAAAGUUGUGGGCUGUCACAGUCCUCCAAAAACUUUAGCAGUACAAAUUCCUGGUGGGAUAUUGGCCUGCUGACAGCUGUGAGAAAGAGCAGCCAGAUGAUCAUCAAGUUACAGAGUGCAGCCUGCUCUGUCCCAGAUGAGAAAAAACAACUUUCCUAAAUCACCAGCAGUCCUUUUACAGGAGGCUCCAACCUGGAAGAGUAAUACUCUUCUAUCAGUUAAGUUUCCUGAUUGCUUUUUGGAGCUGGUGCCUGUCAAACAGAAUCCAGGAAAGGAAAUCUGGAGGGUUAGGAGGAGAACAUGGAGGCUGAAGGUGAAAUUGCAGAUCACUGAGACAUCGAAAAACUUGAAAGUGCUUACUGAAGAGCCAUGAAAUUCCACUUUGAGUUUCCAUGCAAUGGUGGGAAGUUCUCUAGCUGAACGUCAAGAUGUUUUUCAGCCACAAAGGUAUUCAAAAGGCAAGAGACAGAUGGAAAAGUCUUGACUCCAGUAAAGCAAGCAAUAUCUUCUCUUGCUGCAAUUGAUGGCUAUUGACAUAAAUACCUUUGUGAUCUUCAAGAGGCAAGGAGUCAGCAGGUGUUGGUCUUUGAUCUACAGAAAUUUAAGAUUACUUCUUAUUCCAAAGUCUAUUCUGUGAAAUAGAUGAGAUGAGUUUACACAUAGAGAGCUCUAAAUCAACAACUUGGAGGAGAGGAAGGGUUUGCUAACACCAUCACAAUCUGACAUAUAAAAAAAUCAGCAAAUGUCUUUAUGCCAGGCAAUAUGACAUGAAGCUAAGAGACAAUCUGCCUCCAAGUCCCUUUUUCCCUCCAUCAUGGGGUUUUAGAUGACAACAAGUGAGCGAGUCCAGACGUAAUCACUAAUUCAGAUCUGGAGGGUCCCAGGGUGCCGGAGUAUUUCCCACCCAGCAACACCCAGGGACAUCAAUGUUUCAUGACUUCUGCUGGGUCUCAAUCGUUGGAGACUGGAAGAGCUGGGCCAUUGUUUCUGAUCGAGAAAGUGAGGACUGCAGAUGCUGAAGAUCAGAGCUAAAACAUGGAUGCUGCCUGACCUGCUGGGCUUUUCCAGCAACACAUUUUUCAGCAUUGUUUCUGAUGCCAGUGUAAUGCACUUUUAUGUGGGAGAAGGAAAUGAGAAGUUGAAGAAAAUGAUGGGUGAUCUCAACAAGAACUCUGAUGCCCAUAUCCUGACUCAAACCAAGUCCUAACCUGCUAAAAUUUCCGACAUUUUACUUAGAAAGAGUUCAAGGCUUUACAUUAUUAUUCAGCCAGAAAAAUCAUAGCCUAACUUCUGGGUAACCACACAGUGGACAACUUCAAACAUUCACACUGAUCCAAAUCAAUACCUCCCUUAAACCCUUGACUAUGUCUCCAACCACCUAACUAUCCAUCCUGACCCCCAAUUAACUCCUGAUUCCCCAAUUACCCAUGAGCAAGACCAUUGGACAUAGGAGUUGCAAUAGGCCAUUCAGCCCACUGAGUCUGCUCCAGCAUUCAAUCAUGGCUGACAAGCCUCCUGAUCUGAUAGCCCAAUCUACUGACUCUGUCCUUCUUAUCGUAGUAACCUGCUCCUGCCGAACAACACUCUGAGAUAUAUGCACUCAUCCAUUCUGGUCUCAUGAACAUCCCCAAGUCUAUGCACUCCCUAAUUAUCUGCCAUUUCUACAGCUGCCCAGUUCCUCAGCUCUGAAAUUCCUUUGAUAAACCUCUUCAAGUCUCUACUUCACAUUUCCCAUUGCAGAUACUUAAUAAAAGCUACCUCUUUGACCAAGUCCAUGUUUAUAACAUGUAGAUCCCCCAUUUUGUGGCUUGGUGUCAAAUCUGAUUAGAUAAGGUCCCUGGAAAGUGCAUUUGGGGCAUUUAAAUGAAGAUUUUUUUGAUGUUAUUGUUGUUGUUGUCCCGAUACCCAGAUUCAUCUCCAAUGGAAUUAAUAUCUAUUGCAUUGAUAACCACAACUGCCUGUUUGUAUUUGCUUGGACUAUUUGUUUGUCACAUUUCCUUUCAAGCAAAAAAGGAUACAAAAAAAGGAGAUAAGAUGUAUUUGCAGCAAGUACUAGCAUUAAAAGACAUCAGUUAUCUUGCAUGAAUGAGCCAAUAACAACUUUGGGAGUUGCAAUCUUGGGGAUGGAAUGUGUCACUUCAUGAGCCAAAUCACUUUAACAUUCCAAGGCCCAAUAAAAGUGGAUCCCUGUGAAUUGCUCUUGUAAGUGAAAUGGGAAAUGCUAUUGAGACCAUCUGUUCAAUCUACUUGGAACUGGUUGCCUUCAUUUUUGAACAGUCCUGAGCUGAUCAUAAUUUCAGCCGCACUAUAUUAAUUCUAAUUAAACUAUAUUCCAUAUAAUGGCACAGUGCUUUCCCGACAAAAUACACAUUGACGCAGGUUGUCAAAGUAAGUUUCUGCCAAUUCAACAUACUUUUCAUGUUUAUUCUAUUGUUUAUUGAUACACUGAUACUGAGGUUAUGUUUUCUAAUUAGGUUUCAGUGUGGUAUCUUUAUUUGGCAAUUUAUGUCCAGGGAUGGUCUGACAGUAGAGGGAGCUUUUGACCUCGUCCCUAUGUCCACAAAACAAAGGAUGCCAGUGUGGCAACAUGAGGCGAAUAUUAACUUUUCGUACAAUAAAAAACAU